UGUAACAUUCUAAAAGCAAAGAAUGAGCCUUGUCUGAUUUUAUUUUCUUUAUUAAAUAGGAACCAAGAUGUCAGUUAGGCAGGAAAUCCUCUGGGCCACUAGAGAUUGCAGAAAGGAUGGAUAAGUCACAUAGUCUUGUGGUUAUCUUGAGAAAGAAUUCCAAGUACCACUUUAAAUAACUAAUUUCCAUCAUGUGACUUUAUUAUUCAUUAUUUGCAUUUAAUUAAUAAUGUGGAAUUUAUGCCACAACUACAUCACAAAUUAAUUUUCCCAAGUGAAUGGUUUGUUAUCUAGAAGGAAUCACUCAUUUAUUAUAUUACUUUUAAAUUUACUUAAAAGGAAUUUUCACAUCCUUUAGUCAGGUCCAUAAGUUAUUUGAAAUUUUCUUUCUUGUACCAUUACACAAAUGAGUAGCACUGUGUGCAGAGUCUCAGUGCUUGUGUGAGAGAACUCAGAGGAGUCAACAUGUGAAGUCAUGCCUGUGAUUUACAGUGAAGGGAUACCAGGAAGAGGAAUGGAACAAGAACACACAAGUUUGUGUGUGUGUGUGUGUGUGUGUGAACAGGAACCACAGGAUCAGCAUGCAAGUGGACGUAGGAAGCAUGCUUGGUUCCUCUAGCAUCUGCUUGAGAACAGGUGUGGAACUUACCUACCAAGUUGUCUGAAGACACAUUGCUGAAUUUUUCUUUGAGGCUGAUCAUACAUAUAUCCUCUGCUUAGUUACAUUCUAAUUUCAACAUCCCUGAAGGAAAUAAGUUGUUUAUCUUAACACCUAUUUAUGCAAAGAUAUUGUUUGCAUAAGCAGUUUAGGGACAUUAAACACCAAUGUGGCUUAAUAAAUUAUGCCUUAGUCCUCUUUGUGAAAGAAUAUCAUGUAUUAGUCAUCUUAAUUACAGAAUUUUUAUAGCUUAUGUACAUAGAUGAUUAAAUAUUUUAGUAUCAUUCUUUGAGCUUUUGAAAUAGGCUAAUCAGAAAAUGGAAGAGUCCCUGACAAGAAUCAGUGUCAUCACAUUUUGUUUGUUCUAACCCCAAAGGAAAAACGAUAUGAUAACUCCUAAUGUAUGGGAAACUCUAGGAAUUGAGGACUAUAACAGAGUUCGCUAGUCAUCAAUAUGCAAUGAAAAUGAUGUCAUUUUACUGUGAGACUAUGUAGUUUUUCUGAGUUUAUUUUUUAACAUUUCUUCAGAAAAUUAAUACAUCUCAGUUAUCUUGGCAUCUUAGGGUCUUCAACUGUUUUAUUCAAUUUCUUCUUUUUUUAAUUGGGUAUUUAUUUCGUUUACAUUUCCAAUGCUAUCCCAAAAGUCCCCCACAUGCUCCCCCAUUUUUAAGAUACUAUCUCGCAUAAUUUUAUAAAUCUGAAAAUAAAUUACUGUAAAUCUGUGGCUAGAGAGGUGGCUCAGUGGUUAUGUUCUCUUCCCAGCACCACAUGACAGCCCACAACUGCCUGGAAAGGCAGUUGCAAGGGAUCAGGUACCUUCUUCUAGCCUUCACAGGUACUUCACACCUGUGAGGGUGUAUAUGCAGGCAAAACACUUAAACACACAAAAAGAUAUCUUUAAAAAAAUAUAAACUCAUCUACUAUGUGACUGUUCUUUUCUGUUCUGUUCCAAGUAUCAAAUCACAUCUUAUGGUUUAAAUGCAAAAUGCAAACUUCCAAAUGGAACUAAAGGUCCAUUUUCCUUUCUUCAACUCCUGUUUACAGUACUGAUCAUAUUCUUUGUGAGAUUUAGGCGUUCACAUUUCACAAGGCAUAUAGUCUUCCACUUGUAAGCCUUAACUAUAUAGCAUAAAUUUCUCUAUAAUAUUCCUUCUCAUUUCACACUCAUAUGCUCUCCAAUGGCUUUCCCUCCUUGAUUCUUGAACCUGAUAAUUUGUGGCAUCUAUGAUUUUUUUUUUUUAAUGCCUGGUCUUGCAUCAGGGUUUUGUUUUGUUCAUUGUAUUUUGGUACUAUUGAGACAAAGGUAAAGAAAGUGGGCAAUUUAACUAAUAUUUAACUAAUAUAUUCAAGCAUCGCAGGGAUCAGGUUUCUUGUCAUAGAAAUGAUGGUGCUGAUGUCUGUGUCUGUGGUGCGGUUUGUUUGUAUCUUUCCGUUUUUCUCUGCAGUCUGUGUUGUUUGUAAGUUAUGGACCUUGAUGGUUUUGCUGUGUUAAUUGAUGAUUAAUUAAUGACUGAACUUAUGAUUAAAUGAUUUGUCUGUGUGUUGGGGCUGGGUCCAGGCACAUCUCCCCACUGCUAUUCUCGGUAACCUGAUGAGGCCUCAAGUUUAGGUAUUUAGAGUCAGGCCAAAUUCAGGACUAGCCAGUGUAUGAAGCAGACUUGGAGAUUUCAUUGCGCAUGAUAAUUAGCAGAGAAGUGAGCACUCAGAAGAAAGUAAAGCCUACCUAAACGUGGGCGAAGGUUCCUCAGGUGAGGUCGAUGGGUUAAUGUUUUUACAGCAGUCAGAUGUGGAACCAUGGUGGAGAUUGAAGUUACUGUUUUAUCACGGGGUGAUUCCUGAGGGGGUACCUUGGAGGUUCAAAAUUGACAAGGUGAAUGUCCAUACCACGGAGACACUGGAAGUUAGGGUGCAGGGUAUUGAAUAUUCACAGUUCUGUUACAAUUCUUAGUCAAUGUCUGGGAAAAGGAAUGAGACUACCCAAGGUCAUAUACAGUCAGACUUUAAGCCUGGGUCAUUGCUACUUUGACAUAAAAUACCUACACAGGAAAGGAAUAAUAACCCUGAAUAAUUAUUUUGCAUUCACAGGGCAGCAUGUGAGUGCCAUGAUACCCCUCUAGAGGUCAAAGGACAACAUGUAGGAGUUGAAUUUCACAAUUUGGGUUCAGGGAUAAAACCCUAGUUUUAAGGUUUAGCAGCAAGUACCUUUAUUUGCUUAGUCAUCUUGCUGGCCCCACAAAUGCUAAGUGUGCCAGAAUUCUUGCUUUCUGGUGAGCUCUUUUCUUCUGUCACUUUAAUUUCCUUGUCUUCCUGUCCAUUUGUCUCCUUGCCCUUGCAGAAGUCCUCUGUAUUUUGGGGGGGAAUAAUUUGGAAGCUUACAUAGGUAGCACAUGACUUAGUUUUCACUAAAUGCAUUAAUGGCUAGCUGAGACUGUACUACCUGUCAGAACUCUGCAAACAAAUGUCUACUAUAGAGUAGUCCUCAAGAAUUCAGUGACUCUGAAUGUGCCAGACCUAUUACAGAGCUUUUCAGCUUCCUGUGAUCACACACACACACACACACACACACACACACACACACACACACACAUUAAUGCUGCUAUAAAUGAUCUUCUGAUGAAUAUUUAUUCCUGUUUUUAGUAGGAUACUUGAAUUUCUAAAAUCAAGCUCUUAUCUUGACAUUGCUGUCAUUUUGUUAAUUUUAUGAUCAAGCAAUGGCUUUAUGAUUAAUCUAAAUCAGUAUAUUUGGUUCUUUUUUAAAAAGCUGAGUUCAGACUUUAAAAUAUUACUUUUGUAAUUUUUGUUGGAUAUGUUAGUUUUAUCAUAUUUUUAAAAGCUGUACUUUGCAUUUCUACCUAGCUCAUAAAUUAUGCUUAAUCAUGACAUAUUAGGUUAACUCAUGUUUUUUAUAUGCUUCAGUCAUAUAAAAAUUAUUUACUUUUGCCAUAUAACAAGAUGACUGAGGAGAGUUGGCAUUUGAUUUGUAUUGUCAUCCCAAGCUGC
This 3658-nucleotide long non-coding RNA is filed under the name Mus musculus (house mouse). Its description in RNAcentral is "long non-coding RNA chr8:85909977-85913635". Lineage: Eukaryota; Metazoa; Chordata; Mammalia; Rodentia; Muridae. The record is from RNAcentral.